UCAGGGAGAAGUCUCUUCGGGGAUGAUUAAACCGGCGCACGGGUGAGUAACACGUGAGUGACCUGCCUUUUAGACUGGAACAACUUACCGAAAGGUGAGCUAAUGCCGGAUGAGUUAUAUAAGUGCAUGUUUAUAUAGGAAAAGUUGGGGAGACCUGACGCUGAAAGAUGGACUCGCGUCCCAUUAGCUAGUUGGUAGGGUAAUGGCCUACCAAGGCGACGAUGGGUAGCCGGCCUGAGAGGGUGGCCGGCCACACUGGGACUGAGACACGGCCCAGACUCCUACGGGAGGCAGCAGUGGGGAAUUUUGCGCAAUGCUCGUAAGAGUGACGCAGCGACGCCGCGUGAAUGACGAAGGCCUUCGGGUCGUAAAGUUCUUUCGACAGGGAAGAAAAUGCCUAUAAGUAACUGUGUAUGUAUUGACGGUACCUGUAUAAGCAGCCCCGGCUAACUCCGUGCCAGCAGCCGCGGUAAUACGGAGGGGGCGAGCGUUGUUCGGAGUGACUGGGCGUAAAGAGCACGUAGGCGGUGUUGUAAGUCAUUAGUCAAAGACUAGAGCUCAACUUUAGUAAGGCUAGUGAUACUAUAAUACUAGAGUAUCAGAGAGGAUUGCAGAAUUCCUGGUGUAGCGGUGAAAUGCGUAGAUAUCAGGAGGAAUACCGUUAGCGAAGGCGGCAAUCUGGCUGGAAACUGACGCUGAGGUGCGAAAGCGUGGGUAGCAAACAGGAUUAGAUACCCUGGUAGUCCACGCUGUAAACGAUGGAUGCUAGGUGUUGGGCUUUUAAGUUCAGUGCCGCAGNCAACGCGAUAAGC
Molecule: ribosomal RNA, 812 nt
Filed under: uncultured bacterium
Lineage: Bacteria
Description: bacterial SSU rRNA
Rfam family: Bacterial small subunit ribosomal RNA
Source: RNAcentral